RNAcentral lists this ribosomal RNA (617 nucleotides) under Clostridioides difficile. Its description in RNAcentral is "partial 23S ribosomal RNA". It matches the Rfam family "Bacterial large subunit ribosomal RNA", at positions 2183 to 2798 of the family's 2925-position model. The record is from RNAcentral. Lineage: Bacteria; Bacillati; Bacillota; Clostridia; Peptostreptococcales; Peptostreptococcaceae.
GAGCCAUCCUUGGGAUACCACCCUUGUAGUACUGGGACUCUAACCAUAGGCCAUGAAUCUGGUCUUGGGACACUGUCAGGUGGGCAGUUUGACUGGGGCGGUCGCCUCCCAAAAGGUAACGGAGGCGCUCAAAGGUUCUCUCAGUACGGUCGGAAAUCGUACGUAGAGUGUAAAGGCAAAAGAGAGCUUGAUUGCAAGACAUACAGGUCGAGCAAGGAUGAAAAUCGGACUUAGUGAUCCGGUGGUUCUGCGUGGAAGGGCCAUCGCUCAACGGAUAAAAGCUACCCUGGGGAUAACAGGCUUAUCUCCCCCAAGAGUCCACAUCGACGGGGAGGUUUGGCACCUCGAUGUCGGCUCAUCACAUCCUGGGGCUGUAGUAGGUCCCAAGGGUUGGGCUGUUCGCCCAUUAAAGUGGUACGCGAGCUGGGUUCAGAACGUCGUGAGACAGUUCGGUCCCUAUCCGUCGCAGGCGUAGGAAAUUUGAGAAGACCUGUCCUUAGUACGAGAGGACCGGGAUGGACGUACCUCUGGUGUACCAGUUGUUCUGCCAAGGGCAUGGCUGGGUAGCUAUGUACGGAAUGGAUAAGCGCUGAAAGCAUCUAAGCGCGAAGCCAACU